AACGAACGCUGGCGGCAGGCCUAACACAUGCAAGUCGAGCGCGCCCUUCGGGGUGAGCGGCGGACGGGUUAGUAACGCGUGGGAAUAUGCCCAGAUCUGCGGAAUAGCCUCUGGAAACGGAGAGUAAUACCGCAUACGCCCUUCGGGGGAAAGAUUUAUCGGAUUUGGAUUAGCCCGCGUUGGAUUAGGUAGUUGGUGGGGUAAUGGCCUACCAAGCCGACGAUCCAUAGCUGGUUUGAGAGGAUGAUCAGCAACACUGGGACUGAGACACGGCCCAGACUCCUACGGGAGGCAGCAGUGGGGAAUCUUAGACAAUGGGGGAAACCCUGAUCUAGCCAUGCCGCGUGAGUGACGAAGGCCCUAGGGUCGUAAAGCUCUUUCAGCUGUGAAGAUAAUGACGGUAGCAGCAGAAGAAACCCCGGCUAACUCCGUG
Molecule: ribosomal RNA, 433 nt
Filed under: uncultured bacterium
Lineage: Bacteria
Description: bacterial SSU rRNA
Rfam family: Bacterial small subunit ribosomal RNA
Source: RNAcentral